AAAGUGCGCUUCGGCGCAUUGAUCUAACUCAAAGGAAGUCACGGCUAACUUCGUGCCAGCAGCCGCGGUAAGACGAAGGUGGCUAGCGUUGUUCGGUGUCACUGGGCUUAAAGCGUAUGUAGGCGGAAAAGUAAGCGUUUUGUGAAAUCCCUCGGCUUAACCGAGGAAUUGUUUGACGAACUGCUUUUCUUGAGGCAAGUAGGGGUGCAUGGAACUCUUGGUGGAGCGGUGGAAUGCGUAGAUAUCAAGAGGAACGCCAAUGGAGAAAUCAGUGCACUGGGCUUGGCCUGACGCUCAGAUACGAAAGCGUGGGGAGCGAACGGGAUUAGAUACCCCGGUAGUCCACGCUGUAAACGAUGUCUACUAGGUUGUGGGAGUUCUGACACUGCCGCGACCGAAGCAAAAGUGUUAAGUAGACCGCCUGGGGAGUACGGUCGCAAGGCUAAAACUCAAAGGAAUUGACGGGGGCUCACACAAGCGGUGGAGCAUGUGGAUUAAUUCGAAGCAACGCGUAGAACCUUACCUGGGUUUGACAUGCUUGGAUGCUAUACUGG
Molecule: ribosomal RNA, 554 nt
Filed under: uncultured Planctomycetota bacterium
Lineage: Bacteria; Pseudomonadati; Planctomycetota
Description: bacterial SSU rRNA
Rfam family: Bacterial small subunit ribosomal RNA
Source: RNAcentral